Molecule: ribosomal RNA, 429 nt
Filed under: Acidobacteriota bacterium
Lineage: Bacteria; Pseudomonadati; Acidobacteriota
Description: Acidobacteria bacterium partial 16S ribosomal RNA
Rfam family: Bacterial small subunit ribosomal RNA
Source: RNAcentral
UGGGGAAUCUUCCGCAAUGGACGAAAGUCUGACGGAGCAACGCCGCGUGAGUGAUGAAGGAUUUCGGUCUGUAAAGCUCUGUUGUUUAUGACGAACGUGCAGUGUGUGAACAAUGCAUUGCAAUGACGGUAGUAAACGAGGAAGCCACGGCUAACUACGUGCCAGCAGCCGCGGUAAUACGUAGGUGGCGAGCGUUGUCCGGAAUUAUUGGGCGUAAAGAGCAUGUAGGCGGCUUAAUAAGUCGAGCGUGAAAAUGCGGGGCUCAACCCCGUAUGGCGCUGGAAACUGUUAGGCUUGAGUGCAGGAGAGGAAAGGGGAAUUCCCAGUGUAGCGGUGAAAUGCGUAGAUAUUGGGAGGAACACCAGUGGCGAAGGAGCCUUUCUGGACUGUGUCUGACGCUGAGAUGCGAAAGCCAGGGUAGCGAACGGG